GACAGAGGAUGCAAGCGUUAUCCGGAAUGAUUGGGCGUAAAGCGUCUGUAGGUGGCUUUUCAAGUCCGCCGUCAAAUCCCAGGGCUCAACCCUGGACAGGCGGUGGAAACUACCAAGCUGGAGUACGGUAGGGGCAGAGGGAAUUUCCGGUGGAGCGGUGAAAUGCGCAGAUAUCAGGAGGAACACCGGUGGCGAAGGCGGGUCUCUGGGCCGAUACUGACGCUGAGGAGCGAAAGCGUGGGGAGCGAACAGG
Molecule: ribosomal RNA, 253 nt
Filed under: uncultured bacterium
Lineage: Bacteria
Description: partial 16S ribosomal RNA
Rfam family: Bacterial small subunit ribosomal RNA
Source: RNAcentral